This 7362-nucleotide unclassified non-coding RNA is filed under the name Monomorium pharaonis (pharaoh ant). RNAcentral describes it as "uncharacterized LOC105836832, transcript variant X3". The record is from RNAcentral. Lineage: Eukaryota; Metazoa; Arthropoda; Insecta; Hymenoptera; Formicidae.
AAUACAAUAUAUUAUCGUUUUAAUAUUAAAAAAGUUUAAUAUUUGUUUUAAAGAUGGGGUUAUUUUUAUCCAAUAUUUUUUUUUAACUUAUGAAAAUUAUUAUUAAAUAACGAGAAUAUGCUUUUUUUAUGUGCGUGUAAUAGUUAUACAGAAAUUUCUCAUACAAAUAAAUUGUCUGUUUAAUGCUAUGCAUAACUUCAUUUCAUUAUAUUUUAAAUUUUAAAAAUAGAUAUUCUCAAAACAAAAAUUUUUUUUUCAUACUAAUAAAGAAACAAUGCCUAUUUUUGUUCAAUUAACACAAACAUUAUAUGUGCAAAACACUUGCAAGAGAAAAGUUUAGUGGAUUUGGGAUUAUUGUACUCACAGUAUUUUGCACAGUAAAUUUGCAUACCUUAGGCGUUUUUAUCAUAUCGCUUGAAUGUGUACGAUAUAUAGCUGAUACCGUACCAAAUUUAAGUAAGUCUUCGUCUUUUAAUUCGUACCAUUUAAGGCAUUCUAGUAUUUUCUGUGGAAAAAAGAAACACUAAAUUAUCUUCAAAACUGACAUUUUGUCAUAUAAAUUAAAUAAAGCAUUAGCUGUGUUAAUAUAUAAAGAUGUAUAACGUCUUUUACAUUAUUGACUUGUGUCACAUUAGACGAACAUAAAUCCAAAACGUAGGCUGAGUUCCGAUCUUCAAUUUUUAUUUCAGCAUGUACUUUUGAUACUGUCUAAAAAAAGAUUUAAAAUGUUAUAAACAUCUUAAUAUUUAGCAACAAGUACAUGUUUAUUGGUUUUCUAAUAUAUAAAAAGUAUAUACAAAAAAGUUGAUCUAAAAAGAUUUUCUGUGAAAAAUCUUUUAGAAAGAACUUUAAAUAAUAUUUAAGCUAAACCAAACAUUUUUAACAUUGUUUUACAAUAAACACACGUGCAAACGAUAUUAGUGAUAAUCGUUUUGACAAAGGUCUAUCUAUGUUUAAUCCGAACUAUAUAGAUUUAUUUUAAUAAUGCUGUAAAUAUAUAUUUGUUACACAGAUAUUAUCUAAGUAUAUAUAUCAAUUUAUACCACGAUCUUGUAUUGAUUAAAAAUUUUCUUUAUGUCUAAUUUACAAAAACUAUUAUCAAUAAAUUUUUUUGUACAUAAGAAUUAUGUUGGAACUUACCUCAUCGUUGAUAACAAUGUCGCAUUUAGGGUUUCUGCCAAUUAUACAAACUUCUUCCUUAAUUGGAUAGCUAUUGGAAUUAAUGAUUAAUGUUUCCAUCUAAAUUUAAGGCACCUUUAGAGAUCAACAUUCUCAAUGACAGUUAGUGUUAAUUUAAGUGUUUAUUUUAAGUAAAUCUUGCUUGUGUUAAAUAAAUAAUAAAUGUAUUUUAAGGCUAUUCAUCAGGGAAAUGGUUUUUGCAACAAUAACGUUAACUUAAAAGAAGAAAACCGAGAAAAAUGAGAAACUGCUUUUUUUUUAGCAUGAGAGCAAAUUUUUCUGUAUGUACUCUCGAGAUAAUUUAAUAUUUUAGUCUGUUACAUACUGCCCGUAUGUUGACAAAUAAAUUGAAAUAUAUUAAGUAAUUAAGAUAAAUAUUACAAUAAAUUAUAAUUAUCAAGUUAUCAACAAAAUAUAAUUAGUUGCAAGAAUUAAAUUACAAUUGUAAAUAAAAGGAAAAAAACGAAAUGUUGCUAAAAAUAAAUAAUUCUAAUUUUGACAAAGCAACGAGUUAUUUCUCAACAUUCAUGUGUAAAUAUUACAGCACCAAACAUUGUAGUAAUGUUACAGGAAGGUUACGAUCUUACAAAUGUCAUUAAGAAUGUUACUGCAAUAUUUCACUAACCUUACAAUACAACUUAACAUUGUAAUAUUGUCGGAAGGUUAAUAAAAUAUUAUUUUAAUCUUAAGCGCAAUUAUAUAUUUUUUUUCUUAUAUUAUUUUUUAAUAUGUACGUUUUCAUAUAUUUUCAUAAUUUGUUAUUUAUUAAAAAUUAAAUUGGUAAUACUUAAGGAAAGCUUACUGUUCUCCGAAUUUGUUAAAACUUAAUUAUUAUAUAAAUAAUAACACAAUAUUAUGUGUUUUUGUGCAUAGAAUCACAGUAUAAAUAUACACAGUAGCGACAUAUUCUUUCAUCUCAGACAAAUAUUUUGAAGCUUCUUUAACCCACUGUAUUUGCCAAAUACCUUACCCCUGUUGUUGCUCUAUAACUCUAUAAGGUCUUUAAGUAUGGCAGCAAAUGGCAACACUUAAUUCCAGUACUAUCAGUAAGGGUGAUUGAUUGGGAGAUAAAAGGGAGAGUGGUGCAUAGGACUACUGGUGAAGGACCACUAUAAAAAUCCUAACGCGCCAAGUUCGGGACCUCAAUAGGUGGUGGGGAACUCCGAAGAGUACACCGGACUUGUUUCUAACGAUACACAUACGCAAUAUGCUUGAAAAGAGAGAUUAUGAUAUAGUAAGAUUGGUUUCUCAACCAAGCAACCAAAAGAUGUAAUUAUUUCUGCCGUUACGGACGCGCACACAUAUACACAUAUAUGUAUGUAUUAUGCGAAAUACAUGAUACGUUUAUUUUUAUUUUCAGCGCCGGUGUAUCGAAAAUGAUUCCUAGGAUUGACUUGACAAUUACACCUUUUAAUCGGCAUGUCUUUAGCUAUCUUUUAUCAGAGUUUGAGCCAAUUUGUAUGAAACCCAUUUUUUUCCUACGAAAAAUGGGUUUGCGGGGUCUUCUACAAAUUAUUUGAUUUAAAAUUAAUGACUUCUGCAAAAUUUUUCUCUAUUGAAUUCCGAUUCUUACGAGCUUUGAAAUAAGUUUUCUAAAUAGUUUAAAACAUGAAAAUACUACAGAUUUAGUUUAUAUGUAUACCUGUAAAUAUAUACAUAUAUUUAAAAAAAUAAGUUUUGGAAGGAAUAAAACUAUAUUAAGAAAAACCAAAGCUGUAAAAGAUCAGAGGCACGAUAAUAUCAAAUUUCAUUGACGAUGUUAUUUUUGUAUUUUUGACAUUAAAUUGAGUUCACAACAAACUAUGAAAUUUUUGUAUACACUCGUUUUCUGUAGUUCCAGGUCUAAGCAUUGCAAUAGCGGUACACAUAUUUUUUAAUGCAUUAUUUCAAAGCUGUUAUGAUAAUUUGGCGUGUCUACCGUGUACAAACACGGUUUUUUUUGUAAGCUUCUAUGAGACAUAAUACAGCUUUUCUUGUUCACUUUUUUCUUUUUGUUUCUGCGUUGUAGAUAUCAUUAAAUGAACAAUACUUAUUUGUCUUUACUUAAGAAACUACAGAAAACAUAAUAAAAUAGUAAUUAUAUAAUAAUAUAUAUAAUAAAUAUAAUUUAUUCAAAAAUUCAUUCAAAAAGAUAAUGCGUUUACGAAGCAUUUCUAUAGUUGUGACCCAUCUUCAUAAAUUUGCAUACAAAUUUUAAUGCGCGAUUAUUCGAUGAUUGUAUAGCAAAAUGAUACUGAGAAUCAUAAAGUGCACCAAACUGUAAUACAUGGAUAAUAGCAUUAAAUCCAUAAGUUUUUUGAAACUCCACAGCAAUAUUUUUAAUUUUUAUAAUUCUUAAUUUUAGCCCAUUCUUCAAAAGAAAACCUAUUUUUCUUUCUUUAUCUAGUCUUUCGUUGAGAAAUCGUAUUCGUGGAUAUGACUGAAAAUAGAAACCUACUUUUGGAGGUUUAGUUUUAUCACAUUUUGAAUUUAAAUUUUUCUUGUUACUUUUAAGAAGUCUAGUUAAUAUUUUUUCUUCAUUUGGGCAUAUCUUUGUGUAAUCAUGAUCGAUUAAUGGCGUAUUCGAAAAUAUAAGUUUUCGCGUUAAUAAUUCAGCAGUCAGUGUAAAUCCGUUUUCAGUUUGUCUUGCUCAUAAUUUGUAAAAAAAUUAUGAAUAUUAUUAUUGUUUGACUCAAUAUAAAAGGAAUUUUGAUUUCAGAAAAAAUUAAGAAGUAUCUUCAAUAUUUUUUUAUUCAUUUGGAUUUUCGGGAUUUAAUUUGUUAACAUCUACAAAAAAUUAUUUUUAUUGACAAGUCCUCUCCACGCUUCAUCACUCUUUAAAUUAGAGUCCGUUCACCAUGCGGAUCCUCUCGCAAUAAACUUAUUGAAUUAACAUUUACAUUUACAAUUAGCUGAUGUGAUGAAAAUUUUAAUCCUUCAUCUGCUGAACAGUAUUUAAUGUUGGUUUUCGUACUGAAGACGUUGACUCAAUAUCUGCUGAACAUGGAAAGUGGUACAGAUAUUUGGGAAGAGAAUUCUGAAUAUUAAUCUGAUAAACAUGCUGCUGAUGUUUUCAAAAUGGAUUUUGGUCUUUCGCUUAACAUACAUAAAGUUGUUGUGGAUUUUUGUGAGUUUUGGAAUUUUCCAUUGUCUGUACAUAAAGUUGCAGUGAGAUCUUGUAUGUUUUUUAAUUUACUGUUGGAUAAACAUAAAGCUGAUGUAGGUUCUUUUAUAAAAGAUCCUGAAUUUUUGUCAAGUGAACAUGAAGUUGGAAUAACUUUUCGCGGAGCUGAUUUUAAUUCUUUAGUAGAUGAAUGUCAAGACUAUAUCAGAUUUUUGCGAUACUGGCUAUAUAAUUCUUUUUUUUUCUGAUGUAAAUACAGAUGUAUCGGUUGUCUACCCAUUUCAUUGUCAUCAUAUGUGAUUAUUUCACUGUCACUAAUCAUCUGUAAUAUCCUAACAUCACCUGCAAUAAUUUCUCUUGUUUCAUUAAAAUUGUUAGUAGUUUUUUGCAUAAUUCAUACACAGCCCAUAUUUACGUAAACAUAUAAUAUGUAACUACAAAUGUAUAUAAACAUACCCCUUGCCACACACACAAAAUAUAAAAUAUUAAAAUAAAAAAUUUUAAUAGACAAUUCUCUGUACGCUUAAUCGCACAUUUAUUAAUUUUUGUUCAUUACCAGUAAAAGCGACUUGUCGGUUUUUUUUAACUUUUACUCGCAAUAAACAGAUUAAUAAAAUUAGAAAAUGCACGGUAUAAUAGUCAUUGAAUAUAACAGUCAUUGAAAGAAUAAACUUUUACAGAGCCUUUAUAUUUAUUGCUAUAUUAGAUCUUUUUAGAUAAUUUUUAACAAAUUAAAUCGCGAUAACUUACUUUUGAUAGGAAUUUGCCGACGAGGGGUUACAUCUAAAUUGUUAUCAAUAUUUUGCAAAGAUCAUGAAAACAAAUAAUGCUUUAACGAUACAUAUUUUACUGGUAUAUUAUUGAGUGUUGAAGUUUGCGGAGAAACGAGAGUUGAUAUGGAAGAAGAAGGAAGCAUGGGUAGUAGUCGGUGUUAGAGAAGAAAUAUCGGACUCCGAAAAUGAAGUUACAUCAUCUUUGUGUUGUUUAGAUUUCUCAUAUAUUUCACUUUCAAUGACAUUGUCUGGUGAACUCAUAGUCCUGGAAUAAAUAUAUUUAUUUAUACAUACAACUUUAUAUGGUUAUACAUAUAACAAUAUACACAGUCUGUUCUUAUUAUGUUAUUAUUUUAUAUUUAAGUUUAUUUUAAGUACAGAUACAAAACAUUUAAUAUUAAAUUAGCAUUAAAUUUCAAAUCACAUUAGCAUUUUAAGAUAAGAAAAAAAAUAAAAACGCUAAAUUUAAUUUUAUGAUGGAAAUAGUAUAACUAGAUUUCAAUCUGUUAACUAGCUUAGAGUGACUUAAAUAACAGAUUUUAAUCUGUUAACUCUUCUAGAUGUAAAUGAGUUGAACAUGAAACAAACUGUCUUUAAUAUAUAUUGUCUUUGACAAAUUAAUAAAAAAAUAUUCAAAUUUUGAAUAAAAAAACUUACUGUCGCGUUUUAUAAAUGUCGUUCAAGAAAGUCAUAACAUCAUAAACCUGAACCUGAACCUGAACCUGAACUUCGAUUUUUUUACAUUAGCGGCGUCAACUGCCAAUUCACUGGGAAUGUAGCUUUUUUUCGAGCUUUUACAUAAUUAUCUCGCAAGUAUUUUCAGCAAGCUUUAGCCUCCUCUGAAGUAAGAGCUCGUAACAAAUUAUAAUUGGUUCACAAUGUGUAAAAUAUUCACAUAUGUAUUUAUAAAUGUAAAUAUAGAUAUAGUACCUCCUAGAAUGUUAGAAAUUUCGACCCACAAAGCAUUUUUAUGCAUAUGCAGCUUGUCUUUUUGUAUGUGAUGGUCCUUAAUCAGCGGCGAUUUCAUGGUGAUAUAAUGGUAGUUCGAGGUUAGUGACGUGUGCGAGGUUAGCGUUGAAUCGGUUUUUAUUUUAUUUAUGCACAAUGUGCAUAUUACAUCGUGAAAGGAAAUACUUUGCUUAUUACAUCGUGGAGGGAAAUACGGCUGUUUAAUUUGAAGAUCAGAUAAGUUACACAAAAUUUCAUUUUUAGAAUAAGUAUUCUGAGAUAAGAGUAAUACUUUGCGUUAUGUUUUAUUUUUAGUUAUAUUAAAGGAAAAAAAACUUCAUUUGGACCGAAACUAGAAUAGAAAAUAAAAAAAGUGGGCGAGUGAGAAAAGGAAGAUUAUAAAUAUCAAAGCUCGGAAUUUACAAUGUGCCAGUGUAUGCUGCUGUUAAUAAGAAAUUUACCAAGGUUCAAGAUGGAAUAUCACUACAAUCAUGGUGAAAGAAAAACAUAUUUAAGUGGCGAUGCUGGAUCAUCAUACGGAUAACAGACGGGGGGUUCCGGUUGCGUUCCUGAAAACAAGCGCAUAUAAUAGGCCCUGAAAAUGGCCCUUAAGAUGGCGGUACCAAUAAGGAAUCCUGUUCAUCGAGCGCGACAGGCAUAAAAUUGAACAUACCCAAUAGAAAUAUUCCUGCACUCCGAAUUUAUUGAGCGCGACGUGCAAGAAGGAGAAGCAAAGAAGACCACGAGGGGGUGGACCGUCGACCGCCAUUAUCGCUACUACAGACAAUCACGAUCAACCGGGACAGCAUUGGAGGUCAAUUUUUACACCAACGAGCAAGGAGCAGAUACCUAUUUCGAAAGCUACGGUUUGCCUUGGACUUCAGAUUUUUUCGACGAAAUUCUACUACAUAUGGAUAGGAUAGGAUAUCACAUCUGCAAGAAAUGUACUCUCAAACUUACACACAAUACUGCUACGUAUUUUUUUAUAUUUCACGUGUAUAGUUUUAAUUUCUUAAUUUGUUUAUCUGAUUAUAAGCAUAAUGACCAACUAAUUGUACUAAUUGUAAAUUAUUUUGUAAAAUUCUGUCAAUGGAUAAUUAAUUACUUUCAAUAAACUUGUCAAUGUUUACACCUAAAUUAAUUACUCAUAAUUAUAUAAUUAUAAUUAUAAGCUAUAAUUAUAUUUAAAUAUUUAUUAAUAUUUUUUAAAUAUGACUAAAGAAAAUUAAAAAUGCUAUUGAAGAAUUUUACAAUAAUUAUAGGACACCUUGUAUGUUACUUAUAAUUUUUUAUUUUUUAUAUACAUUUAAAACAGAUUGAUAUAUUCCACAAAUUUCAGUUUAUGUUUCGUGAAUAUCU